RNAcentral lists this ribosomal RNA (860 nucleotides) under Flavobacterium sp. RNAcentral describes it as "bacterial SSU rRNA". It matches the Rfam family "Bacterial small subunit ribosomal RNA", at positions 61 to 927 of the family's 1533-position model. Lineage: Bacteria; Pseudomonadati; Bacteroidota; Flavobacteriia; Flavobacteriales; Flavobacteriaceae. The record is from RNAcentral.
GUCGAGGGGUAGAGUUCUUCGGAGCUUGAGACCGGCGCACGGGUGCGUAACGCGUAUGCAAUCUACCUUUUACAGAGGGAUAGCCCAGAGAAAUUUGGAUUAAUACCUCAUAGUAUAAUUGAAUGGCAUCAUUUAAUUAUUAAAGUCACAACGGUAAAAGAUGAGCAUGCGUCCCAUUAGCUAGUUGGUAAGGUAACGGCUUACCAAGGCUACGAUGGGUAGGGGUCCUGAGAGGGAGAUCCCCCACACUGGUACUGAGACACGGACCAGACUCCUACGGGAGGCAGCAGUGAGGAAUAUUGGACAAUGGGCGCAAGCCUGAUCCAGCCAUGCCGCGUGCAGGAUGACGGUCCUAUGGAUUGUAAACUGCUUUUGUACAGGAAGAAACACUGGUUCGUGAACCAGCUUGACGGUACUGUAAGAAUAAGGAUCGGCUAACUCCGUGCCAGCAGCCGCGGUAAUACGGAGGAUCCAAGCGUUAUCCGGAAUCAUUGGGUUUAAAGGGUCCGUAGGCGGUUUGGUAAGUCAGUGGUGAAAGCCCAUCGCUCAACGGUGGAACGGCCAUUGAUACUGCUAGACUUGAAUUAUUAGGAAGUAACUAGAAUAUGUAGUGUAGCGGUGAAAUGCUUAGAGAUUACAUGGAAUACCAAUUGCGAAGGCAGGUUACUACUAAUAUAUUGACGCUGAUGGACGAAAGCGUGGGUAGCGAACAGGAUUAGAUACCCUGGUAGUCCACGCCGUAAACGAUGGAUACUAGCUGUUGGGCGCAAAGUCAGUGGCUAAGCGAAAGUGAUAAGUAUCCCCACCUGGGAGUACGUUCGCAAGAAUGAAACUCAAAGGAAUUGACGGGGGCCCGCACA